GGGUGCGAUCAUAAUAGCGUUAGUGCACCAGAUCCCAUCAGAACUCCGCAGUUAAGCACGCUUGGGCCGGAGUAGUACUGCAAUGGGUGACCUCUUAGGAAGUCCCGGUGUUGCACCCU
Molecule: ribosomal RNA, 119 nt
Organism: Cryptomeria japonica (Japanese cedar)
Lineage: Eukaryota; Viridiplantae; Streptophyta; Pinopsida; Cupressales; Cupressaceae
Source: RefSeq, a predicted model, not a curated record